RNAcentral lists this long non-coding RNA (3393 nucleotides) under Canis lupus familiaris (dog). Its description in RNAcentral is "lncRNA (ENSCAFG00030012973.1)". The record is from RNAcentral. Lineage: Eukaryota; Metazoa; Chordata; Mammalia; Carnivora; Canidae.
CUCCGUUGCCCUCAGUCGCGUCUCUGGUGGACCCGCGCCGCUGGUGCAGGUGUGUUCACCUCACUGCCUGGCGUCCCGUGCGGCCUCCUGCGCGUCAGGCACAGUACCCAGCACCUCCCUGCGGCGUCACGUCCUGCGACGUGAAUUAAAUCGGGUCUGCGUUCGAGGAGGCGUAAGAAGUCCUUCUGGAGCAGGUGGCCGUGGCCGUGGUGGGUCCGGCCGGCCCUGCAGUGCCCGGGGGAGGGGGCCAGCCUCGGGCUCCCCGACCUGUGCGCACCGCCCCCCUCCAGCCUCUCCAACAAGAGACUCACAGGCUCAUUCCACGUCCUUGCAGCCCCAGGGGGUUGCAGCCUGGCCGGGCCUUCGGGGAAUGCAGAUGCGCACUCAUCGCCUCAGGCAACUUCAAGAUCUAUAGAGUCACAGUCACAGCCUUACUAUCAUAAGAGCACGAACAGGGGCACCUGGGGGGCUCAGCGGUUGAGCGUCUGUCUUUGGCCCAGGGCGUGCGUGACCCCGGGGUCCCGGGAUCGAGUCCCGCGUCGGGCUCUCUGCAUGGAGCCUGCUUCUCCCUCUGCCUGGGUCUCUGCCUCUCUCUCUCUCUGUGUCUUUCAUGAAUAAAUAAAUAAAAAUAUUUUUUUAAAAAAGAAAAAGGAACAAUGCACAUUUCUGAUGUUAAAAAACGAGUGCCCCGAAUCAGGCUGAGCCCCCGCAGGGGCAACCCCCGCCAGCCAGCAUCCCCACGAAGGCCUCCUGUUCCACGUCCCUGUUUUACUUCCCCGCAGCGAGGCCCGAGGGCGGGGAGCUGUGGCGGGAGUCGCCCCGGGUCACACUCUGGAAGUUCACUCUUUCCACAUCUAAACACGGAGCAGCAAGACCACAGCACCGGGUCUGACAGACAAGAAAGUCUGUCAGGGCCGCCCCGGGCGGGACAAUGGGGUGAGCAGCCGGGUUUGCCCAAGGAAUGCAAAUCCGGGCCUAAGAAACCCAGCUGGGCGCCCGGCCAGGGAGCAGCACGUGAUGGGGAUGCAGACGCGUCUGGUCCCGAUUCCGAACUAGUGUGUCCCGAGGACACAGCUCUGCCAUCUGGGUGUUCUGCAAACGCCACCCGGCUUCCUCGGCUCCCUGGCUAUGACCCUCGGGGCCAGUGGCUGUGGGGCCCGGACCCGCACUCACCGUAGGGAGAGCUCACGGCGAGAGGAGAGCAUUCCUGGGCCCGAGACCCGUCCGGGGAGGACGCUUCGGAGGAAGACGCCAGCCCCAAGGGUCUGCACCCAGGGUCGGCUCCAACUCUUGGAUUCUUCUUCCGGCCUGGAUCCCCGAGUGACCCCAAACACCCAAGCUUCUGUUUAGCGCCCGGUGUCCCACUCCCGUUGCCCUUCCUCACUCACUGAGUGGUGAGACCCGUGACUCAGGAUUUGGGUGCACCCGGGGUGGGGGGGGUCAGCUCUGGUGCAGGACAGAGCUUCGGGCCCCAGAGUCGCUCAGCGCCUUUUCCCGAGGGCUUCGAUACAGGAAGUAUUUUUUGGUUAAAUGAAGAAGGUGAUUCCAACACUAAAACAUGUGCUGGAGAGAGAGAGACAGAGAACAAAGAUCCUAAGAGAGAUUUAAGAAAAUUGGGACUUGACCUGAAGUGUUGGGGAAACCUGCAGCCCGCGUCCGAGGCGAGGGUGCAACACGACUGCCCUUCUCUCUGGGGGCAGCUGCAGGCGCGGUGACACUCGGGGCCCGGGCUGUGCCCUCUGCCACCCCGCACGCCGCUCGGCAGCCGGGGGCUCGCCCGCCGGGCAGGGACCCAGGGCCGGAGUGUGGGGCUCACUGCCCACCCGGGAGCCUGGCGGCCUGCACGUCGGGUCCCCGUGUUCAGACCCGGCCCCUCUCCCGGGAAGGCAACUGGCCCUAAAAUGUUGUGUCUUGCUUUACCUUCUUUUAAAAGAAUCUUUGGUAGAAACUAGAUAGAAUGAUUCAUUUUAAACCCUGAAGGCAGGGACGCCCGGGUGGCUCAGUGGUUGAGCAUCUGCCUUCGGCUCAGGGCAUGACCCCGGGGUCCUGGGAUCGAGUCCCACAUUGGGGUCCCCGCAGGAAGCCUGCUUCUCCCUCUGCCUGUGUCUCUGCCUCUCUGUGCUUCUCAUGAAUAAAUAAAUAAACUCUUAAAUAAAAUAAAACGAACCCCGAAGACAGCGUUCCGUGUCUGAAUACUCGACGACUGUCACCACCAGCUGCACUGUCGCUGUCAGCAGACUCUCCUUGGAGGACGAGGUGGACGGGACGGGCACCUGCUUCGGUGGUGGCCGCGGACGGAGCAGGAGGAGGAGGCGUCAGGAGGGAGGCCAGGCUGGGUUGGGCUCCUGGGGACAGGGCACAGGGACAGGUGUCCUCACCCGCUGCUCACCGGCUCCUGUGUGGACGUCUCAGAGGCACGUUUCCCCGGGUUUGCCCCCCUUCCUACCUGGGCUGAGGCCGGCGCUGCAAACACGGCCAUUCCUCGGGCGCCGCGAGGCUCACAUCCUGCCGGAGGAUCUGCAGGGAACCUGCAGCGGGUCAGGGAGCCACGCAGUCCACGCGCGCGCAGCCCGCUCCUGGACGCCCCGGGGGAAGAGCUGAGACUCACCUGUGGCCCCAGGAGCCUGAAGACGGACAUGAUAAGCAAAGAUCCGUAAAUGAAACAUCACUUUCUCACUUCUGUUUUCAUGUGCCAACCCUGCAGCCCGCAGGCCCCGGGGGCACCACUAAGGGAUGCGCAUGCCGGGGCUGAAGCCCACCUUCCUUCAUCCUCUGGAGCCCCCCAUGCCCUUCUCGCCCUGAGGACGCCCUGGGGGAACCCACGACACCCGCGCCCCGAAGAACCAGCACGACCUGCAUCACCCGGAAAGCUCUCAUCACGGGCUCCCGGGCCAAAUUCCCCCAAAAGGAAAUGACCUCAUUCAAUCCACUAUGAGCUGGAAUCACUAACGCUAUAGAAAUGCAAUAUUUUGUUAUUUUAGGAAAAUGUGUUUAUUAGGCUCUCUUCAGAGCUCACAUGGAAGCUUUCAGAUUAAAAAUUAACACUGGGCACUGGGCACUAAGGGGGGCACUUGACGGGAUGAGCACUGGGUGUUAUUCUGUAUGUUGGCAAAUUGAAUACCAAUAAGAAAUAAAUUUAUUAUUAAAAAAAAUUAACACCCUUGGAUCUCUGCCUCGUGGAAUAUUUGGGGUUCACACUGAAGUGUGAUUUUCAAGCUGCGUAUUUUUCAUCGAUGCAAAGCUAUGAUGCACAAUUAUGCAUAAACAGCUGUCCAGAGAGGCGAGAAUCCUCCUCAGACAGAGGUUUUCCCAGCCAGACUUUGGGCGCAGGGAAGAAAGUGAAUUUGGAAGUUAUUCUGGUGCAAGAAUUCAAUCUGGGAGCAUUAUUUUUGG